UGAGGAAUAUUGGUCAAUGGGCGAGAGCCUGAACCAGCCAAGUCGCGUGAGGGAGUACUGCCCUAUGGGUUGUAAACCUCUUUUGUCGGGGAGCAAAAGCCGGACG
Molecule: ribosomal RNA, 106 nt
Filed under: uncultured bacterium
Lineage: Bacteria
Description: partial 16S ribosomal RNA
Rfam family: Bacterial small subunit ribosomal RNA
Source: RNAcentral